This 289-nucleotide long non-coding RNA is filed under the name Dasypus novemcinctus (nine-banded armadillo). Its description in RNAcentral is "lncRNA (ENSDNOG00000052674.1)". Lineage: Eukaryota; Metazoa; Chordata; Mammalia; Cingulata; Dasypodidae. The record is from RNAcentral.
AGACUCCAGAAUGGUCAGGCCCCAGAGGGGCCUCCCGGGUCUCUCAGCGUGCACACGCCCGGUCUGACUUCACCCUUGAGACUGAGAACUCAAACCCAGGCCUGCAGAAGGGGCUUGUUCUCUUAAGAAGAGUCGGGCUUGAAUUCAGGUGUUAACUGUCUGGCCUAUGACGAAGCCAUCAUGGCUCAGCAGGACCGCAUCCAGCAAGAGAUUGCUGUGCAAAACCCUCUGGUCUCAGAGCGACUGGAGCUCUCGGUCCUGUACAAGGAGUAUGCUGAGGAUGACAACA